GCCUAGCUGGCUCAGUUGAAAGAGUGUGUGACUCUUGAUCUCAGAGUCAUGAGUUCGAGUCCCAUGUUAGGUG
Non-coding RNA from Ailuropoda melanoleuca (giant panda), 73 nucleotides. NCBI's taxonomy places the organism in Eukaryota, Metazoa, Chordata, Mammalia, Carnivora, Ursidae. The record is from Rfam.